This 770-nucleotide ribosomal RNA is filed under the name Dietzia sp. 8-57. Its description in RNAcentral is "bacterial SSU rRNA". It matches the Rfam family "Bacterial small subunit ribosomal RNA", at positions 68 to 853 of the family's 1533-position model. The record is from RNAcentral. Lineage: Bacteria; Bacillati; Actinomycetota; Actinomycetes; Mycobacteriales; Dietziaceae.
GGUAAGGCCCCUUCGGGGGUACACGAGUGGCGAACGGGUGAGUAACACGUGGGUAAUCUGCCCUGCACUUCGGGAUAAGCCUGGGAAACUGGGUCUAAUACCGGAUAUGAACUCCUGCCGCAUGGUGGGGGUUGGAAAGUUUUUCGGUGCAGGAUGAGCCCGCGGCCUAUCAGCUUGUUGGUGGGGUAAUGGCCUACCAAGGCGACGACGGGUAGCCGGCCUGAGAGGGUGAUCGGCCACACUGGGACUGAGACACGGCCCAGACUCCUACGGGAGGCAGCAGUGGGGAAUAUUGCACAAUGGGCGAAAGCCUGAUGCAGCGACGCCGCGUGGGGGAUGACGGUCUUCGGAUUGUAAACCCCUUUCAGUAGGGACGAAGCGCAAGUGACGGUACCUGCAGAAGAAGCACCGGCUAACUACGUGCCAGCAGCCGCGGUAAUACGUAGGGUGCGAGCGUUGUCCGGAAUUACUGGGCGUAAAGAGCUCGUAGGCGGUUUGUCACGUCGUCUGUGAAAUCCCUCGGCUUAACCGGGGGCGUGCAGGCGAUACGGGCAGACUUGAGUACUACAGGGGAGACUGGAAUUCCUGGUGUAGCGGUGAAAUGCGCAGAUAUCAGGAGGAACACCGGUGGCGAAGGCGGGUCUCUGGGUAGUAACUGACGCUGAGGAGCGAAAGCAUGGGUAGCGAACAGGAUUAGAUACCCUGGUAGUCCAUGCCGUAAACGGUGGGCGCUAGGUGUGGGGUCCUUCCACGGACUCCGUGCCGUAGCU